Molecule: ribosomal RNA, 468 nt
Filed under: uncultured bacterium
Lineage: Bacteria
Description: partial 16S ribosomal RNA
Rfam family: Bacterial small subunit ribosomal RNA
Source: RNAcentral
GAUGAACGCUGGCGGUGUGCCUAACACAUGCAAGUCGAGCGAUUCUCUUCGGAGAAGAGCGGCGGACGGGUGAGUAACGCGUGGGUAACCUGCCUUGUACACACGGAUAACAUACCGAAAGGUAUGCUAAUACGAGAUAAUAUGCUUUUAUCGCAUGGUAGAAGUAUCAAAGCUUUUGCGGUACAGGAUGGACCCGCGUCUGAUUAGCUAGUUGAUAAGGUAACGGCUUACCAAGGCGACGAUCAGUAGCCGACCUGAGAGGGUGAUCGGCCACAUUGGAACUGAGACACGGUCCAAACUCCUACGGGAGGCAGCAGUGGGGAAUAUUGCACAAUGGGCGAAAGCCUGAUGCAGCAACGCCGCGUGAGCGAUGAAGGCCUUCGGGUCGUAAAGCUCUGUCCUCAAGGAAGAUAAUGACGGUACUUGAGGAGGAAGCCCCGGCUAACUACGUGCCAGCCGCCGCCGUAA